RNAcentral lists this transfer RNA (84 nucleotides) under Minisyncoccota bacterium. RNAcentral's name for it is "tRNA-Leu". It matches the Rfam family "tRNA". From Rfam's summary of the family: Transfer RNA (tRNA) molecules are approximately 80 nucleotides in length. Their secondary structure includes four short double-helical elements and three loops (D, anti-codon, and T loops). The record is from RNAcentral. Lineage: Bacteria; Bacillati; Minisyncoccota.
GCCUGGGUGGUGAAACUGGUAAACACGUAACACUUAAAAUGUUAUCCCCGUAAGAGGUUGUGGGUUCGAUUCCCACCCCAGGCA